RNAcentral lists this ribosomal RNA (301 nucleotides) under uncultured bacterium. Its description in RNAcentral is "partial 16S ribosomal RNA". It matches the Rfam family "Bacterial small subunit ribosomal RNA", at positions 509 to 809 of the family's 1533-position model. The record is from RNAcentral.
CAGCAGCCGCGGGAAUACGAAGGGUGCAAGCGUUAAUCGGAAUUACUGGGCGUAAAGCGUGCGUAGGCGGUUUGUUAAGUCUGUUGUGAAAUCCCCGGGCUCAACCUGGGAAUGGCAAUGGAUACUGGCAAGCUAGAGUGUGUCAGAGGAUGGUGGAAUUCCCGGUGUAGCGGUGAAAUGCGUAGAGAUCGGGAGGAACAUCAGUGGCGAAGGCGGCCAUCUGGGACAACACUGACGCUGAGGCACGAAAGCAUGGGGAGCAAACAGGAUUAGAUACCCCCGUAGUCCCUGUCUCUUAUAA